This 344-nucleotide unclassified non-coding RNA is filed under the name uncultured Mortierella. RNAcentral's name for it is "sequence contains ITS2". Lineage: Eukaryota; Fungi; Mortierellomycota; Mortierellomycetes; Mortierellales; Mortierellaceae. The record is from RNAcentral.
AACGCAUAUUGCGCUCUUUGGUAUUCCGAAGAGCAUGCUUGUUUGAGUAUCAGUAAACACCUCAAAGCUUUUGAUUUUUUUUUUGAAAGCUUUGGACUUGAGCAAUCCCAACACCAAUCUUUUUUAGAUUGGAGGCGGGUUGCUUGAAAUGCAGGUGCAGCUGGACAUUCUCCUGAGCUAAAAGCAUAUUCAUUUAGUCCCGUCAAACGGAUUAUUACUUUUGCUGCAGCUAACAUAAAGGGAGUUUGACCGUAUUGGCUGACUGAUGCAGGAUUUCACAGGGGUCGGCAACGACGCUUGUUAAACUCGAUCUCAAAUCAAGUAAGACUACCCGCUGAACUUAA